RNAcentral lists this ribosomal RNA (514 nucleotides) under Vibrio parahaemolyticus. RNAcentral describes it as "partial 23S ribosomal RNA". It matches the Rfam family "Bacterial large subunit ribosomal RNA", at positions 1 to 565 of the family's 2925-position model. The record is from RNAcentral. Lineage: Bacteria; Pseudomonadati; Pseudomonadota; Gammaproteobacteria; Vibrionales; Vibrionaceae.
GGUUAAGUGACUAAGCGUACACGGUGGAUGCCUUGGCAGUCAGAGGCGAUGAAAGACGUAGUAACUUGCGAUAAGCCCAGAUUAGGUAGUAACAACCAUUUGAGUCUGGGAUUUCUGAAUGGGGAAACCCACUUACAUAAGUAAGUAUCAUUAACUGAAUACAUAGGUUAAUGAGGCGAACCGGGGGAACUGAAACAUCUAAGUACCCCGAGGAAAAGAAAUCAACCGAGAUUCCGAAAGUAGCGGCGAGCGAAAUUGGACUAGCCCUUAAGCUUUACACGCGUUAGACGAACGGUCUGGAAAGUCCGACGAUACAGGGUGAUAGUCCCGUAGUUGACGACGUGUGUUCAGUGAAAUCGAGUAGGGCGGGACACGUGAUAUCCUGUCUGAAUAUGGGGGGACCAUCCUCCAAGGCUAAAUACUACUGACUGACCGAUAGUGAACCAGUACCGUGAGGGAAAGGCGAAAAGAACCCCUGUGAGGGGAGUGAAAUAGAACCUGAAACCGUGUACGU